AAGUCGUAACAAGGUUUCCGUAGGUGAACCUGCGGAAGGAUCAUUAAAAAAAGAGAAACGUCCCGUUUUUUUUUCAUAAGAAUGGGUUCUAUUCCCUUAAACCGUGUCUACAUACCUUUGUUGCUCUGGCAGGCCGCCUUCGGGCGUCGGCUCCGGCUGAUAGUGCCUGCCAGAGGACCCAAACUCUAUGUUUAGUGAUGUCUGAGUACUAUAUAAUAUUUAAAACUUUCAACAACGGAUCUCUUGGUUCUGGCAUCGAUGAAGAACGCAGCGAAAUGCGAUAAGUAAUGUGAAUUGCAGAAUUCAGUGAAUCAUCGAAUCUUUGAACGCACAUUGCGCCCCUUGGUAUUCCGAGGGGCAUGCCUGUUCGAGCGUCAUUAUAACCACUCAAGCCUGGCUUGGUAUUGGGGUUUUCGCGUGUUCGCGGCCCUUAAAAUCAGUGGCGGUGCCGUCUGGCUCUAAGCGUAGUAAUUUCUCUCGCUAUAGGGUUCCGGUGGUUACUUGCCAAAACCCCCCAUUUUUUCUAGGUUGACCUCGGAUCAGGUAGGGAUACCCGCUGAACUUAA
Molecule: ribosomal RNA, 566 nt
Filed under: uncultured fungus
Lineage: Eukaryota; Fungi
Description: eukaryotic LSU rRNA
Rfam family: 5.8S ribosomal RNA (bases 224-377)
Source: RNAcentral